Molecule: transfer RNA, 69 nt
Filed under: Ictidomys tridecemlineatus (thirteen-lined ground squirrel)
Lineage: Eukaryota; Metazoa; Chordata; Mammalia; Rodentia; Sciuridae
Description: Spermophilus tridecemlineatus (thirteen-lined ground squirrel) tRNA
Rfam family: tRNA
About the family: Transfer RNA (tRNA) molecules are approximately 80 nucleotides in length. Their secondary structure includes four short double-helical elements and three loops (D, anti-codon, and T loops).
Source: Rfam by way of RNAcentral
GGGAUUGUGGCUCAGUGGUAGAGCACUCACCUAGCAUGUGUGAGGCCCUGGGUUCGAUCUUCAGCACCA